AGAGUUUGAUCCUGGCUCAGAACGAACGCUGGCGGCAGGCUUAACACAUGCAAGUCGAGCGAUCGCAGCAAUGCGGGAGCGGCAGACGGGUGAGUAACGCGUGGGAACAUACCCUCCGGUUCGGAAUAGCUCAGGGAAACUUGGAUUAAUACCGGAUACGGCCUAGCGGCGAAAGAUUCAUCGCCGGAGGAUUGGCCCGCGUUCGAUUAGCUAGUUGGUGAGGUAACGGCUCACCAAGGCGACGAUCGAUAGCUGGUCUGAGAGGAUGAUCAGCCACAUUGGGACUGAGACACGGCCCAAACUCCUACGGGAGGCAGCAGUGGGGAAUAUUGGACAAUGGGCGCAAGCCUGAUCCAGCCAUGCCGCGUGAGUGAUGACGGCCUUAGGGUUGUAAAGCUCUUC
RNAcentral lists this ribosomal RNA (402 nucleotides) under uncultured bacterium. RNAcentral describes it as "bacterial SSU rRNA". It matches the Rfam family "Bacterial small subunit ribosomal RNA", at positions 8 to 436 of the family's 1533-position model. The record is from RNAcentral.